UACGGAGGGUGCAAGCGUUAUCCGGAAUCAUUGGGUUUAAAGGGUCCGCAGGCGGGAAGAUAAGUCAGUGGUGAAAUCUCACAGCUCAACUGUGAACUGCCAUUGAUACUGUCUUUCUUGAAUUCGAUCGAAGUGGGCGGAAUGUGACAUGUAGCGGUGAAAUGCUUAGAUAUGUCACAGAACACCGAUAGCGAAGGCAGCUCACUAGGUCUGGAUUGACGCUCAGGGACGAAAGCGUGGGGAGCAAACAGG
This 252-nucleotide ribosomal RNA is filed under the name uncultured bacterium. Its description in RNAcentral is "partial 16S ribosomal RNA". It matches the Rfam family "Bacterial small subunit ribosomal RNA", at positions 524 to 776 of the family's 1533-position model. The record is from RNAcentral.